CCUACGGGAGGCUGCAGUCACGAAUAUUCCUCAAUGCACGCAAGUGUGAAGGAGCGACGCCGCGUGCCAGAUGAAGCCCUUUGGGGUGUAAAUGGCGUUUAUUGGAGACGAACUAAUGACGCUAUCCAAAGAAUAAGAGGUUGCUAACUCUGUGCCAGCAGCAGCGGUAAUACAGAGACCUCAAGCGUUAUCCGGAUUUAUUGGGCGUAAAGCGUCUGUAGGCGGUUUUGCGCAUCUUUUGUUAAAUUUCACGGCUUAACCGUGAAACCGCAAGAGAGAUGGCAAGACUCGAGGCCGGGAGAGGCAAGCGGAACUGCCGGUGUAGUAGUAAAAUGCGUUGAUAUCGGCAGGAACACCAAAGGCGAAAGCAGCUUGCUAGAACGGUCCUGACGCUCAGAGACGAAAGCGUGGGGAGCGAAACGGAUUAGAUACCCUAGUAGUC
RNAcentral lists this ribosomal RNA (442 nucleotides) under Salmonella enterica subsp. enterica serovar Anatum. RNAcentral's name for it is "bacterial SSU rRNA". It matches the Rfam family "Bacterial small subunit ribosomal RNA", at positions 338 to 795 of the family's 1533-position model. Lineage: Bacteria; Pseudomonadati; Pseudomonadota; Gammaproteobacteria; Enterobacterales; Enterobacteriaceae. The record is from RNAcentral.